GAUGAACGCUGGCGGCGUGCCUAAUACAUGCAAGUCGAGCGGACAGACGAGGAGCUUGCUCCUCUGACGUUAGCGGCGGACGGGUGAGUAACACGUGGAUAACCUACCUAUAAGACUGGGAUAACUUCGGGAAACCGGAGCUAAUACCGGAUAAUAUAUUGAACCGCAUGGUUCAAUAGUGAAAGACGGUUUUGCUGUCACUUAUAGAUGGAUCCGCGCCGCAUUAGCUAGUUGGUAAGGUAACAGCUUACCAAGGCAACGAUGCGUAGCCGACCUGAGAGGGUGAUCGGCCACACUGGAACUGAGACACGGUCCAGACUCCUACGGGAGGCAGCAGUAGGGAAUCUUCCGCAAUGGGCGAAAGCCUGACGGAGCAACGCCGCGUGAGUGAUGAAGGUCUUCGGAUCGUAAAACUCUGUUAUUAGGGAAGAACAAAUGUGUAAGUAACUAUGCACGUCUUGACGGUACCUAAUCAGAAAGCCACGGCUAACUACGUG
This 497-nucleotide ribosomal RNA is filed under the name uncultured bacterium. Its description in RNAcentral is "partial 16S ribosomal RNA". It matches the Rfam family "Bacterial small subunit ribosomal RNA", at positions 28 to 507 of the family's 1533-position model. The record is from RNAcentral.